This 72-nucleotide transfer RNA is filed under the name Camelus bactrianus (Bactrian camel). It matches the Rfam family "tRNA". Rfam says of the family: Transfer RNA (tRNA) molecules are approximately 80 nucleotides in length. Their secondary structure includes four short double-helical elements and three loops (D, anti-codon, and T loops). Lineage: Eukaryota; Metazoa; Chordata; Mammalia; Artiodactyla; Camelidae. The record is from Rfam by way of RNAcentral. RNAcentral also lists the same sequence under 1 other name.
GGGGGUGUAGCUUGGCAGUAGAAUGCGUGCUUAGCAUGCAUGAGGUCCUGGGUUCAAUUCCUAGUACCUCUA